UGGGGAAUAUUGCACAAUGGGCGCAAGCCUGAUGCAGCCAUGCCGCGUGUGUGAAGAAGGCCUUCGGGUUGUAAAGCACUUUCAGCGGGGAGGAAGGCGUUAAGGUUAAUAACCUUGGCGAUUGACGUUACCCGCAGAAGAAGCACCGGCUAACUCCGUGCCAGCAGCCGCGGUAAUACGGAGGGUGCAAGCGUUAAUCGGAAUUACUGGGCGUAAAGCGCACGCAGGCGGUCUGUCAAGUCGGAUGUGAAAUCCCCGGGCUCAACCUGGGAACUGCAUUCGAAACUGGCAGGCUAGAGUCUUGUAGAGGGGGGUAGAAUUCCAGGUAUAGCGGUGAAAUGCGUAGAGAUCUGGAGGAAUACCGGUGGCGAAGGCGGCCCCCUGGACAAAGACUGACGCUCAGGUGCGAAAGCGUGGGGAGCAAACAGG
This 429-nucleotide ribosomal RNA is filed under the name Chloroflexota bacterium. Its description in RNAcentral is "Chloroflexi bacterium partial 16S ribosomal RNA". It matches the Rfam family "Bacterial small subunit ribosomal RNA", at positions 355 to 776 of the family's 1533-position model. Lineage: Bacteria; Bacillati; Chloroflexota. The record is from RNAcentral.